GACUUCUUUUCGGGGGUUAAUUGAGCAGCUGACUUCUAAUCAGCAGGUUGAGGGUUCGAGUCCUUCAGGGAUCGCCA
Molecule: transfer RNA, 77 nt
Filed under: Ruegeria denitrificans
Lineage: Bacteria; Pseudomonadati; Pseudomonadota; Alphaproteobacteria; Rhodobacterales; Roseobacteraceae
Description: tRNA-Arg
Rfam family: tRNA
About the family: Transfer RNA (tRNA) molecules are approximately 80 nucleotides in length. Their secondary structure includes four short double-helical elements and three loops (D, anti-codon, and T loops).
Source: RNAcentral